RNAcentral lists this ribosomal RNA (790 nucleotides) under uncultured archaeon. Its description in RNAcentral is "bacterial SSU rRNA". It matches the Rfam family "Archaeal small subunit ribosomal RNA", at positions 85 to 878 of the family's 1478-position model. The record is from RNAcentral.
ACGGCUCAGUAACACGUAGUCAACAUGCCCAAAGGACGUGGAUAACCUCGGGAAACUGAGGAUAAACCGCGAUAGGUCAUAAGUACUGGAAUGUUUUAUGGCUCAAAUCUACAUGGCCUCUGGAUUGGACUGCGGCCGAUCAGGCUGUUGGUGAGGUAAUGGCCCACCAAACCUGUUACCGGUACGGGCUCUGAGAGGAGGAGCCCGGAGAUGGGCACUGAGACAAGGGCCCAGGCCCUAUGGGGCGCAGCAGGCGCGAAACCUCUGCAAUAGGCGAAAGCUUGACAGGGUUACUCUGAGUGAUUCCCGCUAAGGGAAUCUUUUGGCAUCUCUAAAAACGAUGUAGAAUAAGGGGUGGGCAAGUCUGGUGUCAGCCGCCGCGGUAAUACCAGCACCCCGAGUGGUCGGGACGAUUAUUGGGCCUAAAGCAUCCGUAGCCGGUCUUGCAAGUCUUCCGUUAAAUCCACCUGCUUAACAGAUGGGCUGCGGAAGAUACUACAAGACUAGGAGGCGGGAGAGGCAAGCGGUACUCAGUGGGUAGGGGUAAAAUCCUCUGAUCCAUUGAAGACCACCAGUGGCGAAGGCGGCUUGCCAGAACGCGCUCGACGGUGAGGGAUGAAAGCUGGGGGAGCAAACCGGAUUAGAUACCCGGGUAGUCCCAGCUGUAAACGAUGCAGACUCGGUGAUGGGCCGGCUUCAUGCCGGCUCAGUGCCGCAGGGAAGCCGUUAAGUCUGCCGCCUGGGGAGUACGGUCGCAAGACUGAAACUUAAAGGAAUUGGCGGGGGAGCA